Molecule: long non-coding RNA, 4583 nt
Filed under: Sus scrofa (pig)
Lineage: Eukaryota; Metazoa; Chordata; Mammalia; Artiodactyla; Suidae
Description: lncRNA (ENSSSCG00035016637.1)
Source: RNAcentral
CCAGAUGCCUUCUUCAGUUGGUCUUAAUUCCUCCUUCGUCUUCACUCUAUUCCAAUUAACAUUAUGGUUUUCCCUCUAUAAUUUAAAUCCACCUAAUCUACCUAUACAUGAUAAAUAUAAAUACUAAGAUCAUCUUAUUUCUCUUCAAUAGUCUCCCAUCUCCUCCUGAGAAAACUUCAAACCCUAAGUUGUGUGUUCAGAAUCUUCCACCAUGUGGCAAACUGCUACUUGGCUGCCUAACCACAGAGCAUCUAUUUUUGGCGGAUGAGAGAGGAGGGCAGGAAGGAAACAGGCUCAGAUAAAAGUCUACCUUUCCCACCAUUCCUGCCUUUUCAUCUACCUAAAGAACAGAAACAGAAGUCUCCCUCUUUUUUUUUUUUUUUUUCCUGUUCUUCCUAUAUUUCUCCUUUAUUAUCCUAAAGAGGGAGGGUUCUAGAAGAGAAAAAAUGCUCGAUCGUGAUCUUAAAUCCAGACAUUACUCUCCAGGUCCUCAUUUAGGGCUGCUUAUAGAACAUCUGCAUGUGAAUUUCUUAGAUACUUUAGAUGUAACAUCUACAAAAUACUUAUCUCCUCUUCCCCUCCACCUCUGCCAAUCUCCCUGUGCUCCCUAGCACUUUGAAGGGGCCUCCUAUGAACCCAGUCCUCUAAACCAGAACCUUAGGUAUCACAUUCAGCUCCUCCAUCUCUCUCAUUGCUCAUCAAACCAUUACUUAAAUCCUAUAAAUUCCAUUUUCUGAACGUCUCUCAAACUCGUCUCUCACUGCCACUGCAUUAGUUCGGCCUUUCAUCAUCUCACUCCUGGUAACUUGUUAUUUUUCAUUUUUGUAACUAUUGAAAAAAACUUAAACAAAAUCAUAUCACUCCCUUGAAUAAAACCAUCAAGUGGUUUCUUAUUUUAUACAGUAAAAAUAAAAAUGUCUUAGCACAGUAUACAAGACCCUUUAUUCUAUAGCUCUUGUAUACCCCUCUAGCCUCAUCUCCUGCUGCAUCUUUUGAGUCUUUUGGGCACCAUCCGACUAUGGAGCUGUACUUCUCUGUACUUUUAGAUUUGCUCCUUCUCUCUUUUUGGGAAGCUCUUCUUCCCUUUGCCUGGAAGGUCUCUAUUAAUCCAUCAAGCUCAGAUAAAAUAUUAUCUCCUGACAGAAGAAUCUUUCACUUCCUAGCACGUAGUGUUCAGUGUUGCUCUGAAGAUUAACUGAGACAGCAUAUAUGAGCAUACCAACCGUGAAGCUCUAUUUAAACAUAUGAUACACUGUAAUAGCAAUUCAUCUGUUAAUUCCUAAUACAGGUGGUGGUUGAAACAUGAGACUAGAUAUAAUGGCCAAGGGACAAGUAGAGAGAGAAAGGACGAGAAUGGUAAAUCCUUGAGGAAUCAUCUAAGUUUAGAAAAAAAGGAAUUUGGGAGAGUGUAUUGUGCAAACCCCAGGAAAGUAAUAACUGUUUUAUUCAUUUUGGUACUUUGAAGCAGCACUUAGGAUAUUAUCUUUAAAAAAGGUGUGGUGGAACUAAAAUAAUAAUCGUCAAGUGUUUUAUGUGUAUCUAACCCAGCUAAAAAGGAAUGUGACCCACAGUGCAAAUAAAAUAAUAAUAGGUUUCCAAUAUAUGCAUGUUGGUUGAAUUGCUUUAGAAAAUAUUAAUAUUUAAUUAAAUUGAUAAUUAUUCAUUUAUCUAUAUGUAAAUCCAUAUUUGAGUCUCUCUGCCUACUUAUCUAUGCAUCUAUCCAGGCAUCUAUCUAUCUAUCUAAUUUUUUGUUUUCGUAUUUGGGAUCUGUAGUAGAUAGCUUUGGGGGAAUAUGCCUGGCUGACAAAUAAACAGCUCUCUGGUCUCUCGUAUAGUCAAAAGAAAUAGGUCUCUGGCUUGGUUGGAUAUUAGAACCUAGUAUCCAACCUGUUGCUUGGUUGAACAUUAGAACCUAGUGAGGCCAACUGGGUUUUUUUCUCCCAGAAAUUUGAAGUUGACAUGGAGAGUGUUGUGUCCAUUUUUCCAUGCUCCAGAAAAUUUAAUGUGUAAACUUUUCCCGUCAUGUUUAGCUUUGACCAUUUUCACUGUAUUCUAUGGAGGGUCAAAACUUUGUUUUCCUUGACACUGAUUUGUUUUUCUGUAGUGUUGAUUCUGUUAUUUUAUGUCCAGGGCAGAUUUUGAUUCUAUUAAUACAUUUUAUAUGUUUUAUUUUUCAGCUUUAGUGUUUCUGCUUUAUCUCACUUUAUUAUGUCCCUGCUUUAGUUCCAGAGGCCGCUUCUUUUAUCUUUUCCGAAGAUGCAAAAUAGCUGCCUUCUAAGAUUUUCUUCCGUUUCUUAUUUUUUAGAAAUAAAUGUUUCCUAUGAGUUUCUAGAGCAAUGCCUUCUUUCCUGGAUUUGCACAUUUUCUAUGCAUAGGUACAAUAUUGUUUUGUUGUUUUUCCCUACUUGGAGAGCACUAUUUGGUUCAAAAUUUUCCAACAGAGUUGAGUUUGUAUUUCCUUUAGAUUCUUUCGCUGUUCACUUGGGCACUGGUAAUUUCUCUUAGACCUAGCUUUAAAGGACACAUAGAUAUGCCUAGCCAUUAGUUCAGUCUACUUUCUUGUAGAAAGACAACAUAUAAUUCCAGGGAGUUCCCAUCGUGGUGCAGUGGAAACGAAUCAGACUAGGAAUCAAGAGGUUGCGAGUUCGAUCCCUGGCCUCACAAGUGGGUUAAGAAUCUGGCGUUGCCGUGAGCUGUGGUGUAGGUCGCAGAUGGGGCUUGGAUCCUAUGUUGCUGUGACUCUGGCAUAGGCCAGCGGCUACAGCUCCCAUUGGACCCCAGCCUGGGAACCUCCAUAUGCCAAGGGUGUGGCCCUAAAAUAUAUAUAUAUAUAUGUGUGUGUGUGUGUAUAUAUAAUGUGUGUAUAUGUGUGUGUGUGUGUGUGUGUGUGUGUGACAUACAUGUCAUAAUUUUGUUUUUGUUUUUUGGGUAUUUUUUGCUUUGAGGGCUGCAUCUAUGGCAUAUGGAAGUUCCCAGGCUAGGGCUCAAUUGCAGAUGCAGCUUCCAGCCUACACCACAGCCACAGCAAUGCAGGAUCCCAGUUGCAACUGCUUCUACACCACAGCUCAUGGCACUGCGAGAUCCCUGACGCACUGAGUGAGGCCAGGGAUCAAACCCACAUCCUCAUGCAUACUAGUCGGGUUCAUUUCCACUGUGCCACAGUGGGAACUCCCAUAAUUUUGAAAUUAUUUAAAUUUGAUUAAUCAUUUAGAGGAUAGUAAUGAUUGUAAUUUGGAAAUCCUUUUUAAUGAUCCAUAAAAUGUUGAAAAAAAUAUAUAUAAAAUCUAUAAGCAAAAAAAAGUUCAGUUAACUCAGAACAGGAAAAAAAAAAAUGUUUCCUAAUUACCCCCUAUUACCAUUUAGGUAAGAAGAAGUACUGGAUUAAAUAGUAUCCCCUCAAAAUUCAUGUCCAUCCAGAAACUUAGACUGUGACCUUAUCUGGAAGUAGGUUCUUUGCAGGUUAAGAUGUGUUCAUAAUGGAUUAGAGUAGGCCCUAAAUCCAAAAUAACUGGUGUCCUUUUAAGAUCAAAGACUCAGAGACCAAGAGAGACACACAGGGGAAUGUCAGGUGACUAUGGAGGCUGUUGGGCUGGACCCUCACAAGCCUACAAGGCCCCAUGCUUGCCCAGCUUCAAGGCAGAAGAAAGAGGCCAGAGGCAGCAUCAGAGAUAUGAAUGGCUUAAUGGAUGAGGGAAUUUACAUGUCUGAAGGCCCCCCCCCCCACCAAUGUGACGCAGAUGGCGGUGGUCAGGGCGAGAACAGCCAUUUGGAGCAGCCUGACCACAAAGAGUCAGAGAUUGGGGUUACGCACAAACCAAAAGAAUGGCAGGGAUUUCCAGCAACCACCAGAAGCUAGAAGAGGGGCUUGGAGCAGAUUCUUCCUCAGAGCCCCAGAAAGAACCAACCCUAGUGACCACCUUGACUUCAGACCUCUGGCCUGCAGAACUGUGUGAAAGAAUACAUUUUUGGUGUUGUAAGCCACCCAUUCUGUGGUACCUUGUUACUGCAGCCCUAGGAAAUUAAUAGAUAGGAUAACUGCAUUUAAUUAUAGCAUUCAAAAGACAGAUUUACAAUAAAGAAUAUUCUGGCAUGGAGAUAAUAGAUAAAAUUUUCUUUUCUACAAAUAGUCAUCUCUCAUCUUUUUUUUUUUUUUCUGUGAAAAUCACUUGAUUUUAAAUUAAGAGACAUUGAUUCAAAAACCAACUUUGCUACUCAAUUAGAUGUGGUCUUGGGAAAAUCUAAGUUCUCUUCAGGACUUGAUUUCCUCAUUUAUAAAUUGAGGAAGACUAAAACUCUACCUAAAAGUAUAGCACUAUGGCUCAAAAAUUUGAAAUAUUGAGCAUCCACAAAAUUCCAGAUAGUAAAUUAAUAGAGAUAAUUUGGGAAUGGCUCAGAGGAAAACGAACCUGACUAGCAUCCAUGAGGACACAGGUACGAUCCCUGGCCUCUCUCAGUGGGUUAAGGAUCCAGCAUUGAGUGAGCUGUGGUGUGGGUUGCAGGUGCAGCUUGGAUCCUGCAUCGCUGUGGUAUAGCCCUGUGGCUAUAGCUCCGACUGGACCCCUAGCCUGGGAUCCUCCAUAUGC